UUUCCGUUGGUGAACCAGCGGAGGGAUCAUUACCGAGUUUACAACUCCCAAACCCCUGUGAACAUACCAUUUGUUGCCUCGGCGGUGCCUGCUUCGGCAGCCCGCCAGAGGACCCUAACCCUUGAUUUUAUACAGUAUCUUCUGAGUAAAUGAUUAAAUAAAUCAAAACUUUCAACAACGGAUCUCUUGGUUCUG
This 195-nucleotide unclassified non-coding RNA is filed under the name plant metagenome. RNAcentral's name for it is "partial contains small subunit ribosomal RNA, internal transcribed spacer 1, and 5.8S ribosomal RNA". The record is from RNAcentral.